GAUGAACGCUGGCGGCGUGCCUAAUACAUGCAAGUCGAACGCUGGAAAUCUAGCUUGCUAGAUUGAAGGAGUGGCGAACGGGUGAGUAAUACAUAAGCAACCUACCCACGAAGACUGGGAUAAUCUCUGGAAACGGGGACUAAUACCGGAUAGGUAAUCGGAAGGCAUCUUCUGAUUAUUAAAGGUUAAAAACACUGGUGGAUGGGCUUAUGGCGCAUUAGUUAGUUGGUGAGGUAACGGCCCACCAAGACGAUGAUGCGUAGCCGGCCUGAGAGGGUGAACGGCCACAUUGGGACUGAGACACGGCCCAGACUCCUACGGGAGGCAGCAGUAGGGAAUUUUCGGCAAUGGGGGAAAACCUGACCGAGCAACGCCGCGUGAGUGAUGACGGCCUUCGGGUUGUAAAGCUCUGUUGUAAGGGAAGAACGGUAGAUAGAGAAUAUCUAAAUGACGGUACCUUACCAGAAAGCCACGGCUAACUACGUG
RNAcentral lists this ribosomal RNA (486 nucleotides) under uncultured bacterium. Its description in RNAcentral is "partial 16S ribosomal RNA". It matches the Rfam family "Bacterial small subunit ribosomal RNA", at positions 28 to 507 of the family's 1533-position model. The record is from RNAcentral.